CGUAGGGUGCGAGCGUUAAUCGGAAUUACUGGGCGUAAAGCGUGCGCAGGCGGUUUAGUAAGACAGGCGUGAAAUCCCCGGGCUCAACCUGGGAACUGCGCUUGUGACUGCUAAGCUAGAGUACGGCAGAGGGGGGUGGAAUUCCACGUGUAGCAGUGAAAUGCGUAGAGAUGUGGAGGAACACCAAUGGCGAAGGCAGCCCCCUGGGUCGAUACUGACGCUCAUGCACGAAAGCGUGGGUAGCAAACAGGAUUAGAUACCCUGGUAGUCCACGCCCUAAACGAUGUCAACUAGGUGUUGGGAGGGUAAAACCUUUUAGUACCGGAGCUAACGCGUGAAGUUGACCGCCUGGGGAGUACGGCCGCGAGGUUA
RNAcentral lists this ribosomal RNA (372 nucleotides) under uncultured organism. RNAcentral's name for it is "bacterial SSU rRNA". It matches the Rfam family "Bacterial small subunit ribosomal RNA", at positions 526 to 896 of the family's 1533-position model. The record is from RNAcentral.